GUGGGGAAUAUUGGACAAUGGGCGCAAGCCUGAUCCAGCCAUGCCGCGUGAGUGAUGAAGGCCUUAGGGUUGUAAAGCUCUUUCAGUAGGGAAGAUAAUGACGGUACCUACAGAAGAAGCCCCGGCUAACUUCGUGCCAGCAGCCGCGGUAAUACGAAGGGGGCUAGCGUUGUUCGGAUUUACUGGGCGUAAAGCGCACGUAGGCGGAUUGGUCAGUUAGAGGUGAAAUCCCGAAGCUCAACUUCGGAACUGCCUUUAAUACUGCCAGUCUCGAGUCCGGAAGAGGUGAGUGGAACUCCUAGUGUAGAGGUGGAAUUCGUAGAUAUUAGGAAGAACACCAGUGGCGAAGGCGGCUCACUGGUCCGGUACUGACGCUGAGGUGCGAAAGCGUGGGGAGCAAACAGGAUUAGAUACCCUAGUAGUCC
Molecule: ribosomal RNA, 425 nt
Filed under: uncultured bacterium
Lineage: Bacteria
Description: bacterial SSU rRNA
Rfam family: Bacterial small subunit ribosomal RNA
Source: RNAcentral